This 34-nucleotide transfer RNA is filed under the name Sphenomorphus indicus. RNAcentral describes it as "partial tRNA-Cys". Lineage: Eukaryota; Metazoa; Chordata; Lepidosauria; Squamata; Scincidae. The record is from RNAcentral.
AGCCGCGGCACACCCUGGUGUGCGUCUCUAGAUU